CCCUGGGUGGUACAAAUAGCUAGCACAUUUGGCUGCUAAUCAAAAGGUUGGAGGUUCGAGUCCACUCAGAGGCA
Molecule: transfer RNA, 74 nt
Filed under: Loxodonta africana (African savanna elephant)
Lineage: Eukaryota; Metazoa; Chordata; Mammalia; Proboscidea; Elephantidae
Rfam family: tRNA
About the family: Transfer RNA (tRNA) molecules are approximately 80 nucleotides in length.
Source: Rfam by way of RNAcentral